Molecule: ribosomal RNA, 497 nt
Filed under: uncultured bacterium
Lineage: Bacteria
Description: partial 16S ribosomal RNA
Rfam family: Bacterial small subunit ribosomal RNA
Source: RNAcentral
GGGGGGGGGGGGGGGGGGGGCUGGUGGGGGCGGGUCGAGCGGGGGGACGGGGAGCUUGCUCCUCUGGCGUUGGCGGCGGGCGGGUGGGUAGCACGUGGAUAACCUACCUCUAAGCCUGGGGUAACUUCGGGAAACCGGCGCGAAUAGCGGGUCAUAUAUUGAACCGCAUGGUUCAGUAGUGACAGCCGGUGUUGCGGUGUAUUAUAGAUGGGUCUGCGCCGCAUUCGCUAGUUGGUAAGGUGACGGCUUACCAACGCAACGAUGCGUAUCCGACCUGAGAGGGUGAUCGGCCACCCUGGAACUGAGACACGGUCCAGACUCCUACGGGAGGCAGCAGUAGGGAAUCUUCCGCAAUGGGCGAAAGCCUGACGGAGCAACGCCGCGUGAGUGAUGAAGGUCUUCGGAUCGUAAAACUCUGUUAUUAGGGAAGAACAAAUGUGUAAGUAACUAUGCACGUCUUGACGGUACCUAAUCAGAAAGCCACGGCUAACUACGUG